AUCAGCACCAGCUCUAACAUACAGAAUUACUCAGGGAUAUUCCUCCCAGUAUUCUUUCACCUUUCCAUGACUACUGCUGUUGAAAUUGGCUUGCCAUGAACCUGCUCAUUCUUCGUUAAUUCAUUUACUAAGCAGCGACUGCAUGCAUACAAUAAGAAUACAAAGGGAGGAUCCAGAUUUGAACAGCAGGGCGGCAUCGGUCCACAGGCGUGUGCCGGCUACCUGGGCAUGAGUGCGCUCUCGCCCUGCGUCACAGACCUGUCCCAGUACUACAUCAAAACCCUACUUUUCCUGAGAGUGGCGGAAUAGCUGAAAGGGAAAUUCAUUCAACUGAACAACAUCGUCUAAUCCUUCUUUCAUUCCCAUUCAAUAAAAAUCAUUUAAAAAAUCAAUGGUAAAACGGAUUUGUCCUUGAAAGAACAUAAAGGCUGAGAUAAGGGCUGCUCCUCUGGACCUCAACAAUGCCACCAUCGUUUUCCGUGUUACUGCAGCGUUCUCAAUGUGUCUGUCUGCCCGCUGGCAUACGGACCCUUCUCUUCCCCUUCGUUUCCCCAGCACCGAACAGAGGGUAAAGUUCUGAAGUGCUUGGUGAAGCAAUGCGUGAUGAAGAAAACAGUGCUUUCUGGAAUGGCACGUUCACUGUGAGAACACUCUGUCAUCAGGCUGCACCCCUGAAAAGCCAGGCUGCCCUGGGGGCCAUCUCAGAUGCAUCCCUGCCACGGUGGCUCAUAUCCACAGCCCUGAAUUUACAUAGCCGAUGGCCAGCAAUAUCAACGGCCAUGCAUUUUGGGAUUACAGUUGCUGCAGAAAAUUGUGUUCAUAACAUAACAUAUAGAG
RNAcentral lists this long non-coding RNA (837 nucleotides) under Homo sapiens (human). RNAcentral describes it as "HSALNT0099810". The record is from RNAcentral. Lineage: Eukaryota; Metazoa; Chordata; Mammalia; Primates; Hominidae.